This 552-nucleotide ribosomal RNA is filed under the name Salmonella enterica. RNAcentral describes it as "partial 23S ribosomal RNA". It matches the Rfam family "Bacterial large subunit ribosomal RNA", at positions 2188 to 2739 of the family's 2925-position model. The record is from RNAcentral. Lineage: Bacteria; Pseudomonadati; Pseudomonadota; Gammaproteobacteria; Enterobacterales; Enterobacteriaceae. RNAcentral also lists the same sequence under 2 other names.
GACCUUGAAAUACCACCCUUUAAUGUUUGAUGUUCUAACGUGGACCCGUGAUCCGGGUUGCGGACAGUGUCUGGUGGGUAGUUUGACUGGGGCGGUCUCCUCCUAAAGAGUAACGGAGGAGCACGAAGGUUGGCUAAUCCUGGUCGGACAUCAGGAGGUUAGUGCAAUGGCAUAAGCCAGCUUGACUGCGAGCGUGACGGCGCGAGCAGGUGCGAAAGCAGGUCAUAGUGAUCCGGUGGUUCUGAAUGGAAGGGCCAUCGCUCAACGGAUAAAAGGUACUCCGGGGAUAACAGGCUGAUACCGCCCAAGAGUUCAUAUCGACGGCGGUGUUUGGCACCUCGAUGUCGGCUCAUCACAUCCUGGGGCUGAAGUAGGUCCCAAGGGUAUGGCUGUUCGCCAUUUAAAGUGGUACGCGAGCUGGGUUUAGAACGUCGUGAGACAGUUCGGUCCCUAUCUGCCGUGGGCGCUGGAGAACUGAGGGGGGCUGCUCCUAGUACGAGAGGACCGGAGUGGACGCAUCACUGGUGUUCGGGUUGUCAUGCCAAUGGCACU